GUUAGGAAUAUUCGUCAAUGGGGGAAACCCUGAACGAGCAAUGCCGCGUGAGCGAUGAAGGUUCUUUGAAUCGUAAAGCUCUGUUACGGAGGAAAAACAUCUUCUAUAGGUAAUGAUAGAAGCUUGAUGGUACUCCGUCAGAAAGCCCCGGCUAACUACGUGCCAGCAGCCGCGGUAAUACGUAGGGGGCGAGCGUUAUCCGGAUUUAUUGGGCGUAAAGCGUGUGUAGGUGGUUUGUUAAGUGUAAGAUUAAAGCCCGAGGCUCAACCUCGGUUCGUCUUACAAACUGGCUUACUUGAGUGUGGUAGAGGCAAGUGGAAUUUCUAGUGUAGCGGUUAAAUGCGUAGAUAUUAGAAGGAACACCAGUGGCGAAGGCGACUUGCUAGGCCAUUACUGACACUGAGACACGAAAGCGUGGGGAGCAAAUAGGAUUAGAAACCCUUGUAGUCC
Molecule: ribosomal RNA, 450 nt
Filed under: uncultured bacterium
Lineage: Bacteria
Description: partial 16S ribosomal RNA
Rfam family: Bacterial small subunit ribosomal RNA
Source: RNAcentral